Molecule: long non-coding RNA, 1244 nt
Organism: Drosophila biarmipes
Lineage: Eukaryota; Metazoa; Arthropoda; Insecta; Diptera; Drosophilidae
Exons: 3
Source: RefSeq, a predicted model, not a curated record
UUUAAUUAUUCUAUUUGACACUCCAAAAUAUUAUCUAAAGUUUUUUUGAUUCACUUAUUUAUUUUUAUUUAUAACAAAAUAUAUAGAUCAUUUUGUAAUCAUAUUUUUUACUAUUUUUAUUUUUAUUGAUAUUUUUAUUUUGUGUUGAUAUCCUAAUACAUAAAUCAAAAGAUGACCUACAGGUUAUCAUUUUUUCAAAUUUAUUUUCUUUUUUAAUUUUUUUAUUUAUAUUUAUUUUACUCAAGCCCCCUUUGAUUUUCUUAGCACCUAAAGAUCUCAUCUGGUUUUAGAUCUAGUCAUUUUUCGCCGCCCCUGCAGUUGCAUAACCCCAGUGCGCUAUAAUCAAAUGGAUACGACCACCCAAAAUUGCAAUUAUGGUCAAUAACCCCAAAUUGGGAGCUCGUUCAAAUGGCAGUCGGCCGUUUCACAACCGAAUCGCUGGGAAUUAAAAUUAAUGCCGGGCACGUCGAUCCAGCGAUCACCUGCUGAUAUUGUGCGGCUUCUCUUUCGCCCAAUUUCUUCGUGUUUCGUUUUUAUUCCUUGUAUUACUAUUUUAUUUGCAUUGUGGCUGACUUUUACCCAACGGAAGUGAUGUCUGGCUCUUAGCCAGUGUCAAAUGCAAAUGGAUCGAUCGAAAUCGAAGCGGCCUAUCGAGGGGGCCUAUCGCGCAGGGCGGACCUUCGAUCGAAAUGCAACGCGACUAGAAAUCGAUCGAUUAACUAUUUGCCAUCUUUUUUUCUUUUUCUCUUCCUAUUAUUUUAUUUAUUUUGCCCAAGACCGAGUGUCGCAUUAAACUUGAAACUACAAAUGGAUUUGGCAAGCGUCCCGCCAUGACGGACACAAAGCGCAGCGAUCGAAAUCGGCGAAUUAGCGCCGUCUCAUGAUGGAAUGUAAUUUUUGUCUAAUUAUCGUCCGCCUGGAAGCUGGUCGUAAUAACAAUUCAACUCCAAGUCGAAGUCGGAGCCCGGAGUCAGAGUUGCCUAAUUGUGGCAUUUAGGCAUUUGCCCUCGAACAGUCUGCGCGUUAAUUGCCUUUGGUCGGCGGUCGUCUAAGUGAAUUAUUAACCCGGAUUCAGUGUAAAAACCUCCCUGCUUUUAUUAUGAUGACACUCGAACAUGAAAGUCUCGAACCUUUUGUCUCUGGCAAAUUGAUUUUUGCGGACAGCCAGUUUAGAUGGAGAUUAUUAAAGGUACUCACUCUUGACGGCCCACAUCUUGGCAUCGCUGAGGCCGCCGAGGUAGCUG